AACGAACGCUGGCGGCAGGCUUAACACAUGCAAGUCGAGCGCCCCGCAAGGGGAGCGGCAGACGGGUGAGUAACGCGUGGGAACAUACCCUUUAGUACGGAAUAGCCUCGGGAAACUGGGAUUAAUACCGUAUACGCCUACGGGGAAAGAUUUAUCGCUAAAGGAUUGGCCCGCGUUGGAUUAGCUAGUUGGUGAGGUAAUGGCUCACCAAGGCGACGAUCUAUAGCUGGUCUGAGAGGAUGAUCAGCCACACUGGGACUGAGACACGGCCCAGACUCCUACGGGAGGCAGCAGUGGGGAAUAUUGGACAAUGGGCGAAAGCCUGAUCCAGCCAUGCCGCGUGAGUGAUGAACGGCCCUAGGGUUGUAAAGCUCUUUCGCUAGAGAAGAUAAUGACGGUAUCUAGUAAAGAAGCCCCGGCUAACUUCGUG
This 430-nucleotide ribosomal RNA is filed under the name uncultured bacterium. RNAcentral's name for it is "bacterial SSU rRNA". It matches the Rfam family "Bacterial small subunit ribosomal RNA", at positions 29 to 507 of the family's 1533-position model. The record is from RNAcentral.